AGCAGCAUAGCAUUGGGCAAGAGCACUGGACUGGGAAUCCAGAGAUGCUGCUU
RNAcentral lists this transfer RNA (53 nucleotides) under Pongo abelii (Sumatran orangutan). Lineage: Eukaryota; Metazoa; Chordata; Mammalia; Primates; Hominidae. The record is from Rfam by way of RNAcentral.